UGGAGACGUAGCUCAGUGGUAGAGUAUGUACUUACCAUGCUCAAGGUCCUGAGUUCAAUCCCCAGCACUGCAA
This 73-nucleotide transfer RNA is filed under the name Marmota monax (woodchuck). RNAcentral's name for it is "tRNA.Gly". The record is from RNAcentral. Lineage: Eukaryota; Metazoa; Chordata; Mammalia; Rodentia; Sciuridae.